AAGCGUUGUUCGGAAUUACUGGGCGUAAAGUGCUCGUAGGUGGCCUACUAAGUCAGACGUGAAAUCCCUCGGCUUAACCGGGGAACUGCGUCUGAUACUGGAUGGCUUGAGUUCGGGAGAGGGAUGCGGAAUUCCAGGUGUAGCGGUGAAAUGCGUAGAUAUCUGGAGGAACACCGGUGGCGAAGGCGGCAUCCUGGACCGACACUGACGCUGAGGAGCGAAAGCCAGGGGAGCAAACGGG
Molecule: ribosomal RNA, 241 nt
Filed under: uncultured bacterium
Lineage: Bacteria
Description: partial 16S ribosomal RNA
Rfam family: Bacterial small subunit ribosomal RNA
Source: RNAcentral